This 3528-nucleotide long non-coding RNA is filed under the name Sorghum bicolor (sorghum). Its description in RNAcentral is "long non-coding RNA (SBIC_LNC001804)". Lineage: Eukaryota; Viridiplantae; Streptophyta; Magnoliopsida; Poales; Poaceae. The record is from RNAcentral.
CUAUCGAUAGCACAGGCGCAGGCACAGGCCGCCCGCCUCACUCACUGGCGAAGCCCCACGAGGGAGAUGGCCGGAGGCUAGGCGGCGGCACUGAGAGGCUGCGCCGUGGUGCUGGUUGACGCGGCGGCUGUGCUGCUGCGGGGCUACGCCGCAGCCCGCCGGACUGCGGAGGGCGCAGGCGCAGACGUUCCGGCCUGCUGCCAUCGCCGGCGGCGGAGGUCGGAUUGGCACUCAGUUUUUUUGGUUGUUUCACUUCCUUGUGUCUUGAUGUUAUUUGAAUGGGUCGUUCUUCAUUUGCCCCUUUACAGGCAUAGUACUACCCCACGUGUGCUCACAUUUACUGAUUCCAAUUGAUGUUGGAAGCUUCAAUCUACCGGUAUGUGAUUUUUGACUCGUUAGAUCUGCUAUGUGAUUUGAUUUUUUGUGUGAGUUAUAGGCUUAGAUGCAGGUUGUUUUGUACUAAAAUGAGUGUUAGGGUUUGAUUUGUGUUCAUGUAGAGGCAAUAGUAGUAUUCUAAUGUGUUUUUCUCCUAUUUUGUUGUACUCAAAAUUGUGAAAAAAGGAGUGUGGAGUCAGAUCCCUUUGGGUGCUUUCGUGAUAUUCAAGUUCCUGUGAUUUUUCCCGGCUCAUUUUAUUGGAGAUUAAAUUAGUCAUUCACUAAAAGGUUGGAGCUAGAUUGCUUGAUAUUAUUCUCUUUCUGAAAAAGCAAGAUAUAUACACUCAACCUACGGAUCUUAUUAUCACACACUCUCUUUUUUGUGAUGGAAUCCAACCUUUGUUUGCAACUAGCUAUUUGGAGGCAACGAUUGAAUGUUCUUGACCAAAAUUGUGUGUUGGAGCUGUAAGUUGACAAGCAUUUUCUGCAGUCUGUAAUGUGUGCAUGUUCCAACGAAAACCUAUGAUUAUUGUGUUCGAUUGAUCUCCUCCACAUGCAGAUGCAGCGCUUCCUCCUGCAUAUUUUUAACAGUGUGAGAUAACCAAUGCGUUUGGGUGCCUUACAGAAGCAGGUUACUGGCUAGUAUUAAUUUGAGAUCCUUUUCUUGUGCUAAUUAACAACACCUUCAUGAGUAGGAGUAUUUAAUUGAUCAUAAGAGAGUAUGCACGUAAUUGGAAAUUGACACACAUUCAUGCUGGAGAAGUGAUCGAGCUAGCUCUCAAGCUCUGAAUAUGGUUUGGUCAGGAUCGUCGGAGAAGACUACAGAAGUUAGAACAGAUGUCGAUAAUACAAUGCAAGUUUUUGUGCCUAAGUGCAUUGUGGUGAUGUGUGGUUUUUGUUUUUUUAUUAUUUUCCUUUUUAUUUUCAUUUUUUUCUAGCAUAUCUGUAUUUCUGCUGUUUUUUUUUCAGUUUUUGUAGUUGUUGCUGCCUUUUUUUUGUUGUUCUGUGGUCUUUCUUUUGUUUUUUUUCUUGAAUUUAAGGGCUUAUCUUUUUCUUUUUUUAGCACAGUGGUUUUGUCUUUUUUUUGGAUUUGUUUUAGGCUAUUUGUGGGCCUUUCUUCAGGCUUCUCUUUUUUUGGAUGUGGCAUACCAUUCUGUGUGAGUGUGAGUGUGUCUCUAUUUGUGUUUGUUUUAUUGUGUGUGUUUGCUUGGGUCUGUGUGUGGCCGUUUGUGUGGGUUUCUGUCUCUCUCUCUCUCUGUGUGUUAUUUAGUUUUCUCUAGGUUGUUUUUGACUUGAAAUUUGAGUUGUUUCGGUUAAUUUUUGUUUUAUAUCUGACAGUUGCUUGCAAGUUCUUUGAUGUGAUCAUACUAUGUAGGUUAGUUUUAUUUUUUUUUUGUUUUUGUGCGUUUUUUUGUGUUUUUGUGUCUAUGUGUAUUUGGUUUUUUUCUCUAUUUUAGGUAUGUGUGCGUGUGCGUGUGCGCGUGCGCGUGUGCGUGUGUGUGUUUUUGUUUGUUUGUUUGUUUGUGGGUCUGUGUAAGUGUGUAUGUGUGUGUGUUGGUGAUUUUGUGUGUGUUUGUAAGUCUAGGUGUGUCUGUUUCUAUUUGAGAUUUUGUGUGUUUUGUUUUUUGUUAUACCUAAUUUUUUAAGUGUAUAUCUUUUAGUCUCUGCGGGUGCUUUUCCAUUUUUGGUGUUUUUGUUUGUGCAUUUCUUGCUCUUUGUGUUUUUAUUUUAUCUCUCUCUCUCUCUCUUUGUUUGUGUUUGGUUGUGUGUGUUUUUGGGUCUUUCCAGUACCUGUUGUUGCUACUAGAAAGCAGAGUGUGGGUAUGUGUUUGCUUUCUCUCUCUCUCUCUCUCUCUAUUUUGUGUACUUGUGGACUUGCCACAAUUUAGCUCUUAUGCUGGGGUUCAAGGAUAGAUUUCCCUUAUGCCUCUGAAGUUCUGUGUAAAUGAGACUAACUUUACCUUAGAAUGAAAUAGGUAGUUCUUUUGUGUUGAUUCUUGUGAUGCUCUUCUAUUCUGACAAGUUUCAAGGAUAGCCUCUGUAUAAGCACAGACCAAGCAAGUUUUGUGUAGCAAUUGAGGAGGCUUUCCUUGCUAAGCUUAUUUUUUAUCUCGAAAUGGAUGGGGUAUGAUCACCGCGAAAGUCUAUAAAUAAGCAGUCUGACGCCAAUGGUUUUCAGGAAUAUGCUGCUUCCAAUAACGAGCAACACUACCAAUCUACAUAAGUCCUAGGCAAUUGAAUGCGGUGUUCAGUGUGAAGCUACUUCCUUUGAUACAUCUUUUGAUACAGCUGCAAUUUAAUUUGAUGAUUUGCAGGUUGUUUGGCAAAUCAGCACUAUGUUGUGAUAGCUGUGGUAAUCGCCUAGCAUCCAAAGUUUCAAAGAAAACGAAGCAAGGGGUGAGCAUGUGCUUUGCAGGCACUGAGAAAGGUAUAUGGCUAACCUUUUUGAGUUGUGAGAUACUUCAUCUCUGGUGUUCUCUACACAUCCUCUUUCUUUCAAUGACUCAUGUGUAUAACCAUUACUCUCCGGUUAUUGCAGUUAAAACAAUAAUCUUUGCGUCGAGCCUCCACCGCCACCAGUGUGGCGUCCACCGGGUCAGUCACAUGCUGAAGCGGACAUCCACGCGCACCACGCCCGCAGGCACCGGCUGCAACACGUAGGCCAUCUGUACGAUGUCCAGCCGCUCCUACCGGCUCGGCAUGGUCAGCACGCCCACGAGCAGGCUAAUUGAUCUCGGCGUUGGCGACGGUGGAGACCUUCUCCUCGUCAAUGCCCGACGUGACGGAGUAGCAGCCACCGUCGUCAGUGCCCACACGACUGUAGAGCACGCCGAGGCUCUGGGAACGGGCAUGGGAGGAGCUGAGGUUGGGGAGCGCCAACAGUAGAGCGAGAAGGCCCAGCGGCACCAGGAGGAGGUAUGGCGUGCAAAGCGACGCGGUGUGGAGGUGGAGCCUAUGCGAAGAUGUAGUUGUAGUUGACUGUUGUUGAGUUUUUGAUGUUUUAUGCUAGUACUAACGGGUUUUGUAAAAUCUGACAGAUUUUUUAUUGCAGAACUGUCACUUUUUGUUGUUACACGUGUUAGCUUUAGAUUAGUCAAAAAAUUGACAGAUUUCUGUUUGAAAAAUCUGUCGCCAGAUGAAUAGACAGACCCA